AUGAAGCGGCCCGGCGGCGGAAACCCCUCCUCCCUCCACCAGAUGGCCAGCCCCAAUGAUAUGGACUACGGCGUGGUCGGGAUGGAGGCGGAUGGGGACGCGGAGGAGGAGAUGAUGGCGUGCGGCGGCGGCGGCGGCUGCGGGGGAGGGGAGAAGAAGCGGCGGCUGAGCGCGGAGCAGGUGCGCGCCCUGGAGCGGAGCUUCGAGGUGGAGAACAAGCUGGAGCCGGAGCGCAAGGCGCGGCUGGCGCGCGACCUCGGCCUGCAGCCGCGCCAGGUCGCCGUCUGGUUCCAGAACCGCCGGGCGCGCUGGAAGACCAAGCAGCUCGAGCGCGACUACAACGCGCUGCGCCACUCGUACGACGCGCUCCGCGUCGACCACGACGCCCUCCGCCGCGACAAGGAAGCCCUCCUCGCCGAGAUCAAGGAUCUGAAGGGGAAGCUGGGGGACGAAGAGGCCGCGGCCAGCUUCACGUCAGUGAAGGAGGAGCCGGCGGCGUCCGACGGCCCACCGCCCGCGGGCAUGGGGUCAUCCGACAGCGACUCCAGCGGGGUGCUGAACGACACGGACGCGACCGGCGCCACGCCAACAGAGGAGGCGCCAGCUCCGGAGAUGGGGACGCUGCUCGGCGGGCCCGGGGCGGCCGGCGCGGCGGCGGCGGGGCACGGGCAGAUGUUCCUGCACGGGAAUUUCCUGAAGGUGGAGGAGGACGAGACGGGGUUCCUGGACGACGAGGAGCCGUGCGGUGGCUUCUUCGCCGACGAGCCGCCGCUGGCGUGGUGGACCGAGCCGACGGAUCCCUGGAAAUGA
This 810-nucleotide ribosomal RNA is filed under the name Triticum aestivum (bread wheat). RNAcentral describes it as "partial small subunit ribosomal RNA". The record is from RNAcentral. Lineage: Eukaryota; Viridiplantae; Streptophyta; Magnoliopsida; Poales; Poaceae.